ACAGACACUGGUGAACAAGAUAGAGCCAUCUGCCCAUGUUGGAGUGCUGGGAUCUACGAAUCACAAACCAAAUAAUUAUUACAUGAGUUAGCUCUGUGCUCAGACAUGCAGUGGAUGAGGUCUCCUUACAAAAAUGUUUAAGAAAUGGGUUCAGUCUCCAGACAGGAAGUUGGAAAAAACGCUGCCCCUGAAUCCCCCCAGACAUAGGCCCUCCAAGGAGGGGGGCUGAUUGGGAGUCCACUAAGCCCCCAGACCCCAUAUGGUCUGGGGGCUUACACGGCCCAAAAGGAUGAGAGCCCAGAGGCUGGAUCCACAGUGAAGAAACUGGAACGACGACAUGGGAAGGAGUGUUGAGCUGCAUUUUAUAAGCUCUCAGACAUGCACGCUCACGAUGGACACGGUCUUGGAAAGGCUGAAGCACAGCAUUGGGCCACACAAAUGGAGGUCCAUUUUUCUGAGGAGGAAGUCAGUCUGUCCUUUCAUCUCUUCCAUGCAAGCACAUGUUGACACCGGCUGACACCGGCUGACACCCGGCAGAGGGUCAUAUGGACAAAAUCCGCAGAACAUAGGUGCCACUUGCACCCUUUCUGUUUUCUUUUUUUUUCCUUUCUUUUCACAAUUUUUGCUUUAUAUAUUUUUUUGAUCAUUUAUUUUUAUUUUUUGAACUCCUUGUGAUUUUUAUUUUGAGAGCUGCUAUAAAAAAGUUUUGUUUAAAUUGUGUAUGAAAAUGUCAAACCUUUAUGUAAUAAAAAGCUGAAAAGUCAGUUUAUUGUCCAUCCUUUGUGAAUUACAUCUGAUUCUGCUGCCUACUACUAAACAUAUGCAGAAGAGCUUAUUUUUUAAAUUAAAUCAAGACACCGCUGUCCUAUAUUACUUGUUUUUAAGGUUUUUAUACAUUUGUUUUGCCAUUCUGGUUGCUUUUGCAGUUAGUCUGCCAUUAGUUUUGCAAUAUAAUUUCCUGUGGUAUCUACAUAAUGAAUAAAGGUGACAAAAAAAAAACGUUUACCUGAAAACGUCUCUACAACAUGCCACAAACAUUUAGUUGGUAUGUUGUCACAACGUCACAAUAGCAACGUUGUCACGAUAUCGCAGUAAAGUUGUGGAUAUGUCGCGACAACGUUCCAGCAACGUCCUACGUGACGUUCUGACAACGUCGUAGCGGAAUUUCACUUUGGAAGUCGCUACUACGUAACAUACGACGUUCCUGCAACAUCACAAGGUGUCGGAAAAUACGUUGCGAUAACGUUGUUGCAACGGACCUGUGUUAGUAGGGUUAUGGUAAUGAGCAGUGCAUAUGUCCAAUCCCGUCGGCGGUGACAAGUUGGUAAUAAGAAUAUUGUGGCAUUAACAGAGGGGUGUCGGCGGUCAUGGCUAGGGAGCCCCCCAACAGAAGGGGGCCCCAGGCGGCCGCCGACCUAUGCCUAAUGGUAAAAUCGCCACUGAGUAUUGCAUAUAGCAACAAUAUAAGCUCAGAUAAUAUUUGACUAGAGUCUAAUUUAAAAUGUCAAAUAAAGCCAAUCAAACAAACUUGCAACAUUAAAUCAUAGCUUACUGCUAGUAAGCAAGCCAUAGCAUGUACCCAGGCAUAGCGUGGCAAACAUUGAAAAUUUACCAUUAUUAUGUUUUUAGGUUAAUACGAUAUUUUGUCAAUGAUCGAGUGAUAAUAUGAAACUUGUAGCUUACCUCAAUAUGCUUUUUCAAGUUAGAUGGUAAGUUUUUGAAAGCCAUCAGCUCGUCGUACUUGGGUGCACAAAGCUUGUAGCGCAUUCGAAAUGAGUUGUUUUUGCAUCCAACCAUUUCAAAAAAUUCUUCCAGGCAUGGCCAGGGAUGUAAAGGGGUUGACUUGUCUUCCAGGCUAUCAGAGCCGUCCUCACGGGUACUUGGUUCAGACAUCUUGUUAGCAAGAUUUGCCUCUCCGCCCAAUGCUACUGCUACAACAUACAUUUGCUAAUGGUCUUACAUCCUGGAGUGUCACAUGAUUUGUGUCACGUGCAGUUGCGCUGACCAAUACCAUGUCGGAAUGGUAGAUCUCAUUCAUCCACAAUCAAACCUUUGUUUUUCACCGACGACAAGCCGAAAUGAAGUGGGAGUAACGAGGUUAUUUUUUUAAAGUAAGGAGUAGAAAGUACCGACAAUUGUGUGAAAAUGUAAGGGAGUAGAAGUAUAAAGUAGGGUAAAAAAUACUUACUCCAGUAAAGUAUAAAUAACCAAAAUUUCUACUUACGGUAACGAAGUAUUUGUACUUCGUUAUUUGACACCUCUGACGAUAGGGCCACCGAAAAGAAAAAGAAAAGAAAGAAUUCUGACUUUUCUCAGAAUUCUUUCUUUUUUCUCUCAAGAUUAUUAAAGUCAGAACUCUGAGGAAAAAGUCAGAAUCUUCUUUCUUUUUUUUUUCUUUUCAGUGUUCCUAAUCCUCUUCCAUAAUCAACACAUUCUCACACCCUAAACGUCGAAAAAUGACUCGGUGUGACCAAGAGUUUGUUUCCGAAACAGUAGGAGCCCCUGGCACAGCGCGUCGGUAUCCAUCGCCCGCGGUAAAACAGACAUUUGACCGAAUUGUGACCUUUACCCUCUUGCUCUUUAACCUUCCCGCACCCCCAUCCUAACCUUAUUAACCAGCUUGCGCAUGCAAAGCUUUGUUUCGCAUUUCAACAUUCCCCUCAAACACGCUUAACAGAAAAUUUAGACUGACAUACUGGGUUAAGGUUAAAAUGGGGAUGAGGGGAAGGUUAAAUCACUAGACGUUAGAGGCAAAAUGUCAGUGAAAUCUCCUUUUCACCACGGGCGUCAGAUACCGACGCUGUGGCACUGCGCGUGGGGAGGCGACGCGCAGGGGCACCCAACGCAUCGGAAUCAAACUCUUGGUCACACUGCGUCAUUUUUUGACGCUUAAGGUGUGAGAAUGUGUUGCCAAAAUACGUUUAUCAUUGCUAGCAAGCGGUAGUUUUGUGUUUGCAUACGACCUUACCAACAGACGGUCAUUAGGUUAAAAAAAAUCCUGGGAGCGCAACCUCCAGCAAAAUGACAUGCAGACUCCCUUUUAUCACUGGCUAUGAGUGAAGAGGGUAAAUGUGUUUAACAACGUUUAUGAAUGGCAAACAUUUUGCAACCGCUUGUCAAUAGAUCAGUAAAUGCAUUUUGUCUUCAUGGGCUCCCGUAGAAGGAAACAUGGCGUCUAAUAUCGCAUCUCCUAGAGACUUAGACCCACUCCCAUGCAUUUAGACUUUUAUGGUUAUAUGUUGAAGGAUAUUUCAAGAGAUUAACGGGGAAAACUGCACAUUGUCUCUUUAAGUUCGGUUUGUAUUCAGGGGCGUGCCCAGGGAGUGGCCUGGGGUAGCACAUGCUACCCUUGGAAUCUGAUUGGCCACCCCAGGUGCCACCACACUAAUUUACCUUUAAAUAGGCUUUUCAUUGUCCACAAAAGGCUUGGGGGUAAAACAAAAACAAAAGAAGCAUAACCAUUGGUGCCACCCAUGCACAACGUUGUGCCUCACCUGGGCCACCCCAUUUUAAAAGAUCUGAACACGCCACUGUUAGUAUUAUGUCAUAAUGCUCCUGAAAUAAACAAAAUUUUAAACAAAUGGAAUUUUUAAGUGUUACACACAAAAUCUAAUUCAGGAAACCAGUGUCAAAACAUAAAAAAAUGUUUAAAAAAUUUAUUCAAACACGUAAAGAAAAAAAAAAUCUAAUCUGGAUUCUUUUAUUCAGAAGAACACCCCAGAAUAAUUUUCUGUAGAAAACAACGGGGUUGAACUUUUGUUGCCUAUUUUAAUUAUGACCAAAUGUUUUAUUCCUUUUUUUUUUAUUAAAGUGUGUUCAAAGAAUGAUACGAACCAUCAACAACAUACCUAAGACUUUUAUUUUUCUGUGAUGAUCCAACAGGCUUUAAAAAGUUUUUUUUUGGGCACUACAUCCGAGCAAACGGCUGAAGCUACGCGAUUUUUACGUUACAAACAGCCAAGACGUGACUCAAAUCAACCGUGUGAUCGGGGGUCAUCCGUCGCUCGGUGUGAGUCACCAGGGUGACGUGCGAUGUUCUGGCUGAUUAGAGAAAGAACGGAAGUUCUCAACAACCAGGUAAACAAAAAGUAAAUCAACACGAGCAGCCUGAGUCAUCGUUUAAUGAGGGAGAAACUUGUCUGAGCAGCUGCUGCUUACGGAAAACCAGUCAGACGGUUUAAGUUAAAUGUGUUGAAAUCUUCGCCCCUCAGAAGCACGUUGUGUGUUUCGCACCAACUCAUUGACCUGAUUUCCUUUGCCAUCAUAAUCAAAACCCUGAUAGUAACUGAGCCGCGGUCCUAAAGCAUGACACCAGCGAACAAAAGCAACAAAUCCACUCAGACUGGGAGUAACUAGUGCUGUCUGGCUGCCUUCUUUGCCCUAGUUUUCUGUUUGUUUUGCGCUUAGCUGGGAACAGAGACAACUGUGCUGUGAUGCUCUAAAGACAGAUAUGAAGAGCAGUAUGACCCUGUGUUAAGUGGAAUCAUACUGGAGUCAGACUCUGUGCUUUCUCUUAAAAUAAAAAAAUAACAUUUGCUUACACUUUCUCUGUUUUGACUGAUCUCUGCUUAGGAAAGCCGAGGCAACCAAGUCAUGGUCGAGGCCAAAAAGUCCGACAUAAACACAUUUAGGACUUCCAAACUUUCUCCAAAAUCCAUCCAUCUCUCUCUUAGCUAAAGCUAACAGACAUGUCCAGACAUUGCAGCUGAAGGAAUGACAGGAAUGAAAGGAAUUCCGGGGCAUUCCCAUCAUGGCACAGUCAGCUCAAAGUGAGAAAGCCACUCCCUGGCUAACCAAAAAAACAACUGAUCGAGUGCCGGUGGUGAUCUGUCAAACUCCACCGACUCCAGAACGGGCUGUUAAAGCUCACACGGAAAUCAUCCCGUCAGGUCUGGUCUGCAUCGCUGUUCCUGCAGAGACAUCUUCCUGAGUGAUGGCCCUGCUCCAUGUGUCCGGACAAAGAUCUGCUUUCAGAAAGCUGCAGGAAUGUAAACUGCACUGUGUUUAAGCGAGCACAAUGUAGGUUAACUGCGGUGUCUGUGUGUGUGUGUGUGUGUGUGUGUGUGUGUCUGUG
Nothobranchius furzeri (turquoise killifish) is the source of this 5074-nucleotide long non-coding RNA. Lineage: Eukaryota; Metazoa; Chordata; Actinopteri; Cyprinodontiformes; Nothobranchiidae. The record is from Ensembl.